GCGGUGGUGGCGGAAUUGGUAGACGCGCUAGCUUCAGGUGUUAGUGUCAUUCGGACGUGAGGGUUCAAGUCCCUCCUUCCGCACCA
RNAcentral lists this transfer RNA (86 nucleotides) under Vibrio cholerae. Its description in RNAcentral is "tRNA-Leu". It matches the Rfam family "tRNA". From Rfam's summary of the family: Transfer RNA (tRNA) molecules are approximately 80 nucleotides in length. Lineage: Bacteria; Pseudomonadati; Pseudomonadota; Gammaproteobacteria; Vibrionales; Vibrionaceae. The record is from RNAcentral.